UUCGGAUCUAAUUAAGUUUUGGUCUUUUGAGAGAUUUUCUUUGUACUCCGCCUUCUUUUCGAUAUUAAUAAAUUAUUUGCUCCGUCUUCGCCCGUGGACGUAGGCCGUUGGCCGAACCACGUAAAUAUCGGUGUGUUCUUUCCUUAUUUUUUCUUUUCUUGCAUUAAAUUAUUUUCUGGAUCUAUUUUUCGCCGUUCCGAUUUUAACAAAUUGGUAUCAGAGCCUUUCUAUUCCCUUUGAGGAUUAAGAUGACGACGAAGUUCGAGAUUCAGAAAUUUGACAGGACUAACAGUUUCGCAUUAUGGCAAGUCAAGAUGCGUGCAGUAUUGACGCAGCAAGGAUUGCAGAAGGCACUGUUGGGAAAAGAAAAGAUG
RNAcentral lists this long non-coding RNA (374 nucleotides) under Ananas comosus (pineapple). RNAcentral's name for it is "long non-coding RNA (ACOM_LNC037598)". The record is from RNAcentral. Lineage: Eukaryota; Viridiplantae; Streptophyta; Magnoliopsida; Poales; Bromeliaceae.